Molecule: long non-coding RNA, 499 nt
Organism: Drosophila montana
Lineage: Eukaryota; Metazoa; Arthropoda; Insecta; Diptera; Drosophilidae
Exons: 3
Source: RefSeq, a predicted model, not a curated record
GCGGUAUAACAUUUCAGUUUGUUUCCGGCAUUCCCGAUAGCACACAAGCCAAAUCAAUAUAAAAGUGAUGGGCAUGUCAAAACCGUCAAGUCAAAAAUAAUACUAAAACCCUAACAGGCAGACAAAGACUGAGUUUCAGCUCUCUAGCAGAUCCCUAGUCGAAGUUCUCUAUGUCUACUUUGGUCAUUGUAUUGGUGAGCUAAAAGAAGAAAACAACAAGUAAUAUCGUGAGUUUGGCUGAGUACAGGAGUACUUAUGUUUAGUCAUCAGGAUCUAAUUUAUCAGACUUUUUGGGCUCAUUUUCUCGCUGUGAUGUGUCAAUUUAAAGUGUGAGAAAAUUGCCUGGGCUUGUCUAGAAUGAUGAAUGAUGAUGAGACCAAAAACAGGAAUAGCUUUUGGUGAAUGUCGAAAAGCAAGAAAAAACCAACUACAGGAAACUAAUUUCAAUUUUUAAAUAAAUUAUAUGAUUUAAUUCUGGUCUGUAAAAAAAACAAGCAAA